This 501-nucleotide ribosomal RNA is filed under the name uncultured bacterium. RNAcentral's name for it is "bacterial SSU rRNA". It matches the Rfam family "Bacterial small subunit ribosomal RNA", at positions 15 to 507 of the family's 1533-position model. The record is from RNAcentral.
GAUCAUGGCUCAGGAUGAACGCUAGCUACAGGCUUAACACAUGCAAGUCGAGGGGCAGCAUGUCGGUUGCUUGCAACCGAUGAUGGCGACCGGCGCACGGGUGAGUAACGCGUAUCCAACCUACCCUUGUCCAUCGGAUAACCCGUCGAAAGGCGGCCUAACACGAUAUGCGGUUCUCAGCAGGCAUCUAACGAGAACGAAAUGUGAAGGAGAAGGAUGGGGAUGCGUCUGAUUAGCUUGUUGGCGGGGUAACGGCCCACCAAGGCGACGAUCAGUAGGGGUUCUGAGAGGAAGGUCCCCCACAUUGGAACUGAGACACGGUCCAAACUCCUACGGGAGGCAGCAGUGAGGAAUAUUGGUCAAUGGGCGGAAGCCUGAACCAGCCAAGUAGCGUGAGGGAAGACUGCCCUAUGGGUUGUAAACCUCUUUUAUAAGGGAAUAAAAUACGGGACGUGUCCUGUUUUGCAUGUACCUUAUGAAUAAGGACCGGCUAAUUCCGUG